GACGAACGCUGGCGGCGUGCUUAACACAUGCAAGUCGAGCGGUAAGGCCCUUUCGGGGGUACACGAGCGGCGAACGGGUGAGUAACACGUGGGUGACCUGCCCUCAGCUCUGGGAUAAGCCUGGGAAACCGGGUCUAAUACUGGAUAUGACUCCAUGACGCAUGUUGUGGGGUGGAAAGCCUUGUGCGGCUGAGGAUGGGCCCGCGGCCUAUCAGCUUGUUGGUGGGGUGANGGCCUACCAAGGCGACGACGGGUAGCCGGCCUGAGAGGGCGACCGGCCACACUGGGACUGAGACACGGCCCAGACUCCUACGGGAGGCAGCAGGUGGGGAAUCUUGCGCAAGUGGGACGAAAGCCUGACGCAGCGACGCCGCGUGAGGGAUGAC
RNAcentral lists this ribosomal RNA (386 nucleotides) under uncultured bacterium. RNAcentral describes it as "bacterial SSU rRNA". It matches the Rfam family "Bacterial small subunit ribosomal RNA", at positions 28 to 412 of the family's 1533-position model. The record is from RNAcentral.